CCUACGGGCGGCAGCAGUGGGGAAUAUUGCACAAUGGGGGAAACCCUGAUGCAGCGACGCCGCGUGAGUGAAGAAGUAUUUCGGUAUGUAAAGCUCUAUCAGCAGGGAAGAAAAUGACGGUACCUGAUUAAGAAGCCCCGGCUAACUACGUGCCAGCAGCCGCAGUAAUAAGUAGGGGGCAAGCGUUAUCCGGAUUUACUGGGUGUAAAGGGAGCGUAUACGGCAGCACAAGUCUGGAGGGAAAUGCCGGGGCUUAACCCCGGAACUGCUUUGGAAACUGUGCAGCUUGAGUGCAGGAGAGGUAAGUGGAAUUCCUAGUGUAGCGGUGAAAUGCAUAGAUAUUAGGAGGAACACCAGUGGCGAAGGCGGCUUACUGGACUGUAACUGACGUUGAGGCUCGAAAGCGUGGGGAGCAAACAGGAUUAGAUACCCGAGUAGUC
This 440-nucleotide ribosomal RNA is filed under the name uncultured bacterium. Its description in RNAcentral is "partial 16S ribosomal RNA". It matches the Rfam family "Bacterial small subunit ribosomal RNA", at positions 338 to 795 of the family's 1533-position model. The record is from RNAcentral.